AACGCAUAUUGCACUCUAUGGUAUUCCAUAGAGUAUACCUGUUUGAGCGUCAUUUCUCUCUUAAACCUUUGGGUUUAGUUAUGGGGGUUGUGUUUCUUUCUUUAAACAAAGAAACUCCCCUGAAAUGGCUCGGCAUGCUUCCCUUACCUUGCUAAGUAGCUUUAGCUGGCUUUAUUAUGUAGGUUUUACCAAUAUUAAUAAACACCCAGUUAAUUGGCUGAAAGGUUUGUGGUAAGAAGCCUAAACAAAAUUUUGUUUUAGAACAUAAAUUUUGACCUCAAAUCAGGUAAGGAUACCCGCUGAACUUAA
RNAcentral lists this unclassified non-coding RNA (309 nucleotides) under uncultured Saccharomycopsis. Its description in RNAcentral is "sequence contains ITS2". The stretch from base 1 to 52 matches the Rfam family "5.8S ribosomal RNA", at positions 103 to 154 of the family's 154-position model. The record is from RNAcentral. Lineage: Eukaryota; Fungi; Ascomycota; Saccharomycetes; Ascoideales; Saccharomycopsidaceae.